AAUGGGCGAGAGCUGAACCAGCCAAGUAGCGUGAAGGAUGACUGCCCUAUGGGUUGUAAACUUCUUUUAUAAAGGAAUAAAGUCGGGUAUGCAUACCCGUUUGCAUGUACUUUAUGAAUAAGGAUCGGCUAACUCCGUGCCAGCAGCCGCGGUAAUA
This 157-nucleotide ribosomal RNA is filed under the name uncultured bacterium. RNAcentral's name for it is "partial 16S ribosomal RNA". It matches the Rfam family "Bacterial small subunit ribosomal RNA", at positions 370 to 525 of the family's 1533-position model. The record is from RNAcentral.